AUUGAACGCUGGCGGCAUGCCUUACACAUGCAAGUCGAACGGCAGCACGGGAGCAAUCCUGGUGGCGAGUGGCGGACGGGUGAGUAAAGUAUCGGAACGUGCCCAGUCGUGGGGGAUAACGUAGCGCAAGUUACGCUAAUACCGCAUACGAUCUAGGGAUGAAAGCGGGGGAUCGCAAGACCUCGCGCGAUUUGAGCGGCCGAUAUCAGAUUAGGUAGUUGGUGGGGUAAAGGCUCACCAAGCCGACGUUUUGUAGCGGGACAGAGAGGCCGACCAGCCACACCGGGACUGAGAACCGGCCCAGCCUCCGACGGGAGGGAGCAGUGGGGAAUUUCGGAAAAUGGGCGAAAGCCUGUACCAGCCAGGCCGAGUGCAGGAUGAAGGCCUUCGGGUUGUAAACUGCUUUUGUACGGAACGAAAAGGUUUGGCCUAAUAAGCUGAGCUCAUGACGGUACCGUAAGAAUAAGCACCGGCUAACUACGUGCCAGCCGCCGCCGUAA
RNAcentral lists this ribosomal RNA (500 nucleotides) under uncultured bacterium. Its description in RNAcentral is "partial 16S ribosomal RNA". It matches the Rfam family "Bacterial small subunit ribosomal RNA", at positions 29 to 523 of the family's 1533-position model. The record is from RNAcentral.